RNAcentral lists this long non-coding RNA (929 nucleotides) under Rattus norvegicus (Norway rat). RNAcentral's name for it is "long non-coding RNA NONRATT031629". The record is from RNAcentral. Lineage: Eukaryota; Metazoa; Chordata; Mammalia; Rodentia; Muridae.
GUUUCCGUAUAGAAAAGAGACCUCCAGUUUCCAUCACAGGAAAAACAAAUGAUACUUCAUUAAGACAACAACAACAACAACAACAAACUACUGGAUGAAAAGAAGUCGAGUGAAUGCCCAGAUGUGGCAAACACUCCAAAUGAAGGAGAUGGAAACAGGCCUGUUCUGUGCUCUGGUCAGGCCCACUGUAGUGAGGGGACCGGCAGGCUGCCUGCCAGCUCUGCUCCAUGCCUGGACAGACUCAGUUUCCCGGCCUCUUCACCAGUUGAUAUGCUGGCACCGAAGGACAGCUGUCCCACAGACAAGCUGAAAUGGCUUCCGUGGCUAAGUGCUGAAGAGUCUGUGGCUGCCCUAUCCUAGAGCAAGGCCCUUCCUAAUGGUGGAACUGCCACCCCCACCAUCCCACCACGAGUCAGGAUAGUCUUGUCCUGUGUUGAAAAUUCUGUCACCCUUCUCAGACAAAGUGCAUCUGUUAAUAAAAUCCCUUCUUAGGGGAAGCACGAACAAUGAUUAUGCCUUCUCAGGUCCCAACAGCAAACCAAGGCUCGAUUCUGCCAAAGUUCACUCCAGGGAACCAGUGAGUUUAUUGGGCUGCCUUACUGUGCACAGGUUACUUACAGGGGUGUGGGUACUUCUCCCCCAACAGGCUGCACCUAGAAAGCCUUAUCCAGCAGAGGGCUUCAGAAUAGCCAUAGAUGGAGCCUUCUUUACCUAGUCUUCUAGGACCUAGAAGUUCCUCCCUGAAGUUAUAAGCAAUUAAGUCAGCAUUGCAUGCAACAAGUGGUAAGGCUAUGCUGGGUUCUAAGGGUCCUGUGACCCUCCCUGCCCCUACCACAUGGGGGUGUAACAGUCAACAAGGCCAGCUGCAAUAAUCCUUUUGCACAUGGGCAUGGCUGAACCCCCCAAGAUUGCGGUUGUUUGGCUCAGAG